ACGAACGCUGGCGGCGUGCUUAACACAUGCAAGUCGUACGGUAAGGCCCUUUCGGGGGUACACGAGUGGCGAACGGGUGAGUAACACGUGAGUAACCUGCCCACAACUUUGGGAUAACGCUAGGAAACUGGUGCUAAUACUGGAUAUGUGCUCCUGCUGCAUGGUGGGGGUUGGAAAGCUCCGGCGGUUGUGGAUGGACUCGCGGCCUAUCAGCUUGUUGGUGGGGUAGUGGCCUACCAAGGCGGCGACGGGUAGCCGGCCUGAGAGGGUGACCGGCCACAGUGGGACUGAGAUACGGCCCAGACUCCUACGGGGGGCAGCAGGGGGGAAUAUUGCACAAUGGGCGCAAGCCUGAUGCAGCAACGCCGCGUGCGGGAUGACGGCCUUCGGGUUGUAAACCGCUUUCAGCAGGGACGAAGCUUUUUGUGACGGUACCUGCAGAAGAAGCACCGGCUAACUACGUG
RNAcentral lists this ribosomal RNA (464 nucleotides) under uncultured bacterium. RNAcentral describes it as "partial 16S ribosomal RNA". It matches the Rfam family "Bacterial small subunit ribosomal RNA", at positions 29 to 507 of the family's 1533-position model. The record is from RNAcentral.